RNAcentral lists this unclassified non-coding RNA (213 nucleotides) under Hevea brasiliensis (rubber tree). Lineage: Eukaryota; Viridiplantae; Streptophyta; Magnoliopsida; Malpighiales; Euphorbiaceae. The record is from RNAcentral.
GCUUAUUACAUAGUUGCGUAUCUUUUUAGGGAUUUAGGGAAGUCCAAAGCGCCUAGGGGAGAAUCCUUUCUCGAUGGAUCUUGUGAAAGAACACACUUAAGGCCUUGACACCACAUCUAUCUUAAAAUCUUAAAGCAAUAGGUCUAUGGGUCUUUUCUGCUUAUAUGUCUCUCAUUCAUCCCAUCUUUUUCCGAUUUAGGAAUUCCACACUUG